RNAcentral lists this ribosomal RNA (314 nucleotides) under Heminothrus ornatissimus. Its description in RNAcentral is "eukaryotic LSU rRNA". It matches the Rfam family "Eukaryotic large subunit ribosomal RNA", at positions 666 to 944 of the family's 3401-position model. Lineage: Eukaryota; Metazoa; Arthropoda; Arachnida; Sarcoptiformes; Camisiidae. The record is from RNAcentral.
CCAAGGAGUCUAACAUGUGCGCGAGUCACUCGGUCUUGAAUAGGCCAGAGAGGCGCAAUGAAAGUAAUGUUGAUUGAGUUACGAUCCUUAUGCAGUCAUCCGUAUGGGUGACGGUAAGGCGCAGUAACAGCCCGCCAAUUUCGCUUAUUGACGAUAUGGCGGAGUUGUAGCGUACACGUUGGUACCCGAAAGAUGGUGAACUAUGCCUGGGCAGGACGAAGCCAGAGGAAACUCUGGUGGAGGUUCGUAGAAAUUUUGACGUGCAAAUCAAUUUUCAGACCUGGGUAUAGGGGCGAAAGACUAAUCGAACCAUC